Molecule: unclassified non-coding RNA, 245 nt
Filed under: Drosophila virilis
Lineage: Eukaryota; Metazoa; Arthropoda; Insecta; Diptera; Drosophilidae
Description: GJ27115
Source: RNAcentral
UUUUUUAAGGUAACCAAGCCGAACAACUGCAGCUUUUUAGUGUCCGAAAUUGCGAAAGCUAGAGAGCACAUACAAACCUCAUUGGAGAAGAUUGACGACAUGACGAUUGAUGCUUCUUCAAGUUUGGAAAUUUUAAGCAGAAUUGCAAUACUGGAAACUGAAAAUAAGGAAAUGAGGAAUCUUGUUUCGGGCUUUGCACAAUCAUAUCAUGAUAUUUUGCGGCGGCUUUCUUUUAUCGAAAACUG